AGUGGGAUAGCUGGGUUAAAGGUGGGUCCAUUCCCAGUUUUCCAAGGAAUCUCCAUACUGCUUUCCAGAUUGGCUGCACCAUUUUGCAGUUCUACCAGCAAU
RNAcentral lists this microRNA precursor (102 nucleotides) under Marmota monax (woodchuck). Lineage: Eukaryota; Metazoa; Chordata; Mammalia; Rodentia; Sciuridae. The record is from RNAcentral.